GCAAGUCGAACGCAAACGUCUUCUUCGGAAGACUAGUAGAGUGGCGCACGGGUGAGUAACGCGUAAGUAAUCUACCCUCGCAUUUGGGAUAACCCACCGAAAGGGGUUCUAAUACCGAAUACGUCCAUAAAAAUAUCUUUUUUUUAGAGAAAGGUGGCCUCUUCUUGAAAGCUACUGUGCCGAGAGGAGCUUGCGUACCAUUAGCUAGUUGGUAGGGUAAUGGCCUACCAAGGCAACGAUGGUUAGCGGGUCUGAGAGGAUGAUC
RNAcentral lists this ribosomal RNA (265 nucleotides) under uncultured bacterium. Its description in RNAcentral is "partial 16S ribosomal RNA". It matches the Rfam family "Bacterial small subunit ribosomal RNA", at positions 57 to 305 of the family's 1533-position model. The record is from RNAcentral.